CACUAAGAAGCUAAACCGGACAUAAGCCCUAGCCUUUUAAGCUAGCAUUGGGGACCACGCCAACCCCCUUAGUGA
This 75-nucleotide transfer RNA is filed under the name Crocodylus johnstoni (Johnstone river crocodile). RNAcentral's name for it is "Crocodylus johnsoni (Johnstone river crocodile) tRNA-Lys". The record is from RNAcentral. Lineage: Eukaryota; Metazoa; Chordata; Crocodylia; Crocodylidae.